CGGUGCCAGUCAAGAUGUAC
RNAcentral lists this small nuclear RNA (20 nucleotides) under Arabidopsis thaliana (thale cress). Its description in RNAcentral is "snRNA_02562". The record is from RNAcentral. Lineage: Eukaryota; Viridiplantae; Streptophyta; Magnoliopsida; Brassicales; Brassicaceae.